CUACGGGUUGCUCCAGUGGGGAAUAUUGCACAAUGGAGGAAACUCUGAUGCAGCAACGCCGCGUGGAGGAUGACACUUUUCGGAGCGUAAACUCCUUUUAUAUAGGAAGAAGAUGACGGUACUAUAUGAAUAAGCGCCGGCUAACUCCGUGCCAGCAGCCGCGGUAAUACGGAGGGCGCAAGCGUUACUCGGAAUCACUGGGCGUAAAGAGCGUGUAGGCGGAUUAAAAAGUCAGAAGUGAAAUCCUAUAGCUUAACUAUAGAACUGCUUCUGAAACUCUUAAUCUAGAAUAUGGGAGAGGUAGAUGGAAUUUCUGGUGUAGGGGUAAAAUCCGUAGAGAUCAGAAGGAAUACCAAUUGCGAAGGCGAUCUACUAGAACAUUAUUGACGCUGAGACGCGAAAGCGUGGGGAGCAAACAGGAUUAGAUACCCUGGUAGUC
Molecule: ribosomal RNA, 439 nt
Filed under: uncultured bacterium
Lineage: Bacteria
Description: partial 16S ribosomal RNA
Rfam family: Bacterial small subunit ribosomal RNA
Source: RNAcentral